Molecule: ribosomal RNA, 252 nt
Filed under: uncultured bacterium
Lineage: Bacteria
Description: partial 16S ribosomal RNA
Rfam family: Bacterial small subunit ribosomal RNA
Source: RNAcentral
UACGUAGGGGGCAAGCGUUAUCCGGAUUUAUUGGGUUUAAAGGGUGCGUAGGCGGGCUGUUAAGUCAGCGGUAAAAGCCCGGGGCUCAACCCCGGCGAGCCGUUGAAACUGGCUGUCUUGAGAUGUCGAGAGGUAUGCGGAAUGCGCAGUGUAGCGGCGAAAUGCUUAGAUAUUGCGCAGAACUCCGAUUGCGAAGGCAGCAUACCGGCGGCGAUCUGACGCUGAGGCACGAAAGCGUGGGUAUCGAACAGG